GACGAACGCUGGCGGCGUGCUUAACACAUGCAAGUCGAACGGAAAGGCCUUGCUUCUGUGGCGUGCUCGAGUGGCGAACGGAUGAGUAACACGUGAGUAACCUGCCCAUGACUGUGGGAUAACUCUAGGAAACUGGGGCUAAUGCCGGAUAGGAAGUAAUGCGGCCUGGUGGGGGUUGGCAACUUUUGGCGGUUGGGGAUGGGCACGCGGCUUAUCAGCUUGUUGUUGGGGUAGUGUCUUACCAAGGAUUUGACGGGUAGCCGGCCGGAGGGGGGGACCGGCAACAUUGGGACUGAGGUGCGGCCCAGACUACUACGGGAGGCAGCAGUGGGGGAUAAUGCACCAUAGGCGGAGGCCUGAUGCAGCAGCGCCGCGGGCGGGAUGACGGCCUUCGGGUUGUAGACCACUUUCGCCUGUGGCGAAGAGGGAGUGACGGUAAUUGGUAAAGAAGCACCGGCUAACUACGUG
RNAcentral lists this ribosomal RNA (468 nucleotides) under uncultured bacterium. RNAcentral's name for it is "partial 16S ribosomal RNA". It matches the Rfam family "Bacterial small subunit ribosomal RNA", at positions 28 to 507 of the family's 1533-position model. The record is from RNAcentral.